RNAcentral lists this ribosomal RNA (465 nucleotides) under uncultured bacterium. RNAcentral's name for it is "bacterial SSU rRNA". It matches the Rfam family "Bacterial small subunit ribosomal RNA", at positions 338 to 795 of the family's 1533-position model. The record is from RNAcentral.
CCUACGGGUUGCAGCAGUGGGGAAUCUUCGGCAAUGGACGAAAGUCUGACCGAGCAACGCCGCGUGAGUGAAGAAGGUUUUCGGAUCGUAAAACUCUGUUGGUAGAGAAGAACGUUGGUGAGAGUGGAAAGCUCAUCAAGUGACGGUAACUACCCAGAAAGGGACGGCUAACUACGUGCCAGCAGCCGCGGUAAUACGUAGGUCCCGAGCGUUGUCCGGUUUUAUUGGGCGUAAAGCGAGCGCAGGUGGUUUAUUAAGUCUGGUGUAAAAGGCAGUGGCUCAACCAUUGUAUGCAUUGGAAACUGGUAGACUUGAGUGCAGGAGAGGAGAGUGGAAUUCCAUGUGUAGCGGUGAAAUGCGUAGAUAUAUGGAGGAACACCGGUGGCGAAGGCGGCCCCCUGGACAAAGACUGACGCUCAGGUGCGAAAGCGUGGGGAGCAAACAGGAUUAGAUACCCGUGUAGUC